CAGCCGCGGUAAUACGUAGGCAGCGAGCGUUGUUCGGAAUUACUGGGCGUAAAGAGUGUGUAGGCGGUGCUCUAAGUUCGGUGUGAAAUCUCCUGGCUUAACUGGGAGGGUGCGCCGGAAACUGGAGUGCUCGAGCGUGGGAGAGGAAAGCGGAAUUCCUGGUGUAGCGGUGAAAUGCGUAGAUAUCAGGAGGAACACCUGCGGUGUAGACGGCUUUCUGGACCAUAGCUGACGCUGAGACACGAAAGCGUGGGUAGCAAACAGGAUUAGAUACCCUGGUAGUCCACGCCCUAAACGAUGCAUACUUGGUGUCGGCCAUUCAGUUGGUCGGUGCCGGAGCUAACGCGUUAA
This 351-nucleotide ribosomal RNA is filed under the name uncultured soil bacterium. RNAcentral describes it as "bacterial SSU rRNA". It matches the Rfam family "Bacterial small subunit ribosomal RNA", at positions 512 to 863 of the family's 1533-position model. The record is from RNAcentral.